UACGUAGGGGGCGAGCGUUGUCCGGAAUUAUUGGGCGUAAAGAGCGUGUAGGCGGUUCGGUAAGUCUGCCGUGAAAACCCAGGGCUCAACCCUGGGCGUGCGGUGGAUACUGCCGGGCUAGAGGGUGGUAGAGGCGAGUGGAAUUCCCGGUGUAGCGGUGAAAUGCGCAGAUAUCGGGAGGAACACCGUUGGCGAAGGCGACUUUCUGGGCUGCUACUGACGCUGAGGCGCGAAAGUCAGGGGAGCAAACGGG
Molecule: ribosomal RNA, 253 nt
Filed under: uncultured bacterium
Lineage: Bacteria
Description: partial 16S ribosomal RNA
Rfam family: Bacterial small subunit ribosomal RNA
Source: RNAcentral